AUGCAUUCUUUUGGCAUAUUUGGUUUUGCAUGUACAUCAUUAUGUUUCUCCUCCCACUACCACAAGAAAAAGAUAUUAAUUGUAGUAAAAAAUAAAGUUAUAAACUUCUGGCAAGCUAAAACUGAGAACAGGUUAUCAAAGGGAUGUGUGCCUGUUCACUUUUAGAAGUGUAUUAGGUCUUUCAUAGCUGAGAAAGGACAGAAAUAGGGAGAUAAAGUCGUUCACCUCAGAUCACAAGCUAAAUUGGUGGUAAAGGCUGGACUAGAAUCUAGAUGUAAUGGGUAACUUUCACCCACAUUAUGUCAGUCCCAUUUAGACUUCCUUGGUUGACUAGUAUUGAUGUAACCAAAAAGACAUCUACUCAAAAUUCAAUAUUCUAAUGGUAGUUAUUGAGAACUUACUAUCUGUCUGGUCCUGUUUAAAGAGUAGGACAUAUAGCAGUGAAUCAGGCACUUUUUUUUUUUUUUUAUCAAGAACUUUCUGGCAAAGAUAUAUAUUUUGUUCCUGCGAGAGGCCAUUUGUUGCAUAUCAACAGCCAGAUAAGCCUUAAACAAACAGGUAAUAAAAAGGACAGUCUUGGCUACUCUUUUUGUGAUUUAAUCUAGAACAACAUUUCUCUCUUGGUAUUUACUUCAUCAGGCUGAUGUAAGGACUUGCUACUGCAUUCAUUGUCAGCAAUGGUCACAGCAGGCCUGAAUACUUUUUUGUUGUUGUUAACUGUAUUUAAAGGUGUUGUACCAUUCACUUGCAAAGAAACUGUUUUUAUCAAAUGAGAUUUUGCUUUGGAAGAAUGGCAAUGCAAUUCAGCCAUGUUUUUUUCUAAAUUAAUGUAACAUUUGCAUAAUAAUAUUUUAAAGUAAUUGCUUGGGCCACUUUCUUUUUUUAUUUUUUGCAGAAGAACUAGCAGAUCGCUGUUAGAAAAACAUUUGUUAAAUUUCCAAAUCAUAAUGUAUUUUAGUGGUGAGAGGAGCUCAGUAAAGGAAAUUAAAGGCAUCGUGGACUCCACAGAGCAUGGAACACAAUGAGCUCUCAAAAAGUCAUUUGUUGGCAGA
This 1052-nucleotide long non-coding RNA is filed under the name Homo sapiens (human). RNAcentral describes it as "HSALNT0309281". The record is from RNAcentral. Lineage: Eukaryota; Metazoa; Chordata; Mammalia; Primates; Hominidae.